UACGGGGGGGGCAAGCGUUGUUCGGAAUUACUGGGCGUAAAGGGUGCGUAGGCGGUCCGCUAAGUUGGAUGUGAAAACUCUGGGCUUAACCCAGAGCCUGCAUUCAAAACCGACGGGCUAGAGUUCUGGAGGGGGUAGCGGAAUUCCUGGUGUAGCGGUGAAAUGCGUAGAUAUCAGGAGGAACACCGGUGGCGAAGGCGGCUACCUGGACAGAAACUGACGCUGAGGCACGAAAGCUAGGGGAGCAAACAGG
RNAcentral lists this ribosomal RNA (253 nucleotides) under uncultured bacterium. Its description in RNAcentral is "partial 16S ribosomal RNA". It matches the Rfam family "Bacterial small subunit ribosomal RNA", at positions 524 to 776 of the family's 1533-position model. The record is from RNAcentral.